UGGAGUAUAUCUUCUGGAAUGGGUAUGAACCGUCCAAAGUUCAGGUAAUCUACUUACUGCAGAUGGAGUAGUUGCCCUUUUACUCAACUGAAUGAAAUACUCCAUAAUUUAAAUAUCUUGUGCUAAAUAUGCGAUCUCGUUAGAAAUUCUCCAUAAUUUAACCCAACCGAAAGAGUUGAUCGACAUGAAUUUUUCUGGAGUAGUUCGCCAACAGUACAUUGAAUAAAAGUUCAGUUAAGCAAGCAUGAUACUCCUAUUUUUGGAGUAAAAAUUCAGUAAAGAGCUUGGCAUCUCAGUUUGCAUCUAGGAGUACAUCUGAAACUUCCUAUGAGUGUAUAUUCUUUGCUGCAGAGAAUAUAUACUCCUAUCAAACAAGUAAAGAAUAUACUCCUAGUUGGAGUGUUUUGCAACUUGCUAGGAGUACUGGGGUAUCAAUCUAUCUAUAGCAAGUGAUUCAGUUCUCUUCUUUUCCAACCAUAAAUACUGGAGUAUAUAUUCCAGUAUACAGCAAGUAGUCCAAGUAUAAGCUGGAGUAUAUAGCAAUAUAUAGCACAAUAUAGUCUGUGGCAACAAUAAUUAUAGACCUCAAGUUCACACAUAAACACAUACUCCUUUGCUUGUAAGCACGGAAUACACAAGUACUACUCCUUGUGCCAUUGCAUACACUUCAGGAGUACAACAAACUGGAGUAGAAUACACAACAAGUACACACAGAUUACACAACAAACUGGAGUAGGAUCAGCGUCCAAGCAUCUCUAGUGCCAUUGCAUACACUUUAGGAGGAACUGAGAUCCUGGGCGGUAGCAGUUGUAGCCUUUCUAGCCUAUCCUUGUUCAUGUGCGGGAUUUUGUAUUUAUUGGCUCCACCAUUCUUCAUUACUUCAACCAUGCAAGUCUGCAGAGUUAUGAAUACUCUGUUAAGUUUUGAAACUUCAUAUCCAUCGAACUCCUCUUGAACACCUUUAAUCAGCUCUGGAAUAGUUUUCGGACUUUUGCAGUCUGUUAGCGACUGAAUCGAGCUGAAGAACCCAAGGUCCAGGGCGUUCAUGUCCGGAGAAUUUGGAGGCUGAUACAUUAUUCUGAUGUCCAGGCCACUUUCGUCCACAGCUUCUAUGAAUUCUUGAUCAUUAGGUAGGAUAUGUGUUCUCGCGUUAUCUUGCUGGAUAAAAAUGGGUUGUCCAUCAUUAUCUGCAGGCCACAAUGCUUGAAUCGCUGGCACAACCUUCUGUAUAAUGUACUCUCUCAUCACAACCCUCGUCACUAUGACAGGCUUUGUUUCCAAUGUCCCUUUUUCCCUUAUCUUGCUUUUUUUGCUGCUGCAGUCACUCUCACGAAUGGCCAUACCCCAAUUUUUCCGGAGAAUGUCAUGUUCCCAUCUUCAUCAAACCGUGGUCUUGCUACCGCUAUGAGAAAUAUCACUUUUCCAAUAGAGUUUUUGGCAGGUCUUUCCGGGUCCUCUUUGUCAGGCAGCGGAUAGUAGUUCCUCUUUCUCUUGGUCAUGGAGAACCAUUUUUCGUCGAUGUGAACAAUAUUAUGCAUACUCCUGAAACUUGGGCUUACAUCUCCUAAUGUUGCCUCAUCUAUCAUAGAGAGGCAAAAAUCCACCCUAUCUCUCUUAUUUUUCUCUGUUAGUACCGGCUUUACCCUGUUGGAGUGUCUCCUUAUCUUAUUCAACUUGAACUUCUUGUAUAGUGUAGUAGGGCUUACACCUAGUGCCUUGGCUAGAGAUCGAAUAGUUGACCUCUUGUUUAAGGGAAUUGUCGUAAUGAGAGAUAGGAUAUCAUCAUAAGAUUUUCUUCCACAAUUUUCCUUUCUUUUGUUUGAAACAUCCACCUCCUGACCAAGGCCUUUCUGUUUCAUUGCCGUCUCCCAUAUUCUUUGAAUAACUCGAACAUGUGAUCCAAAUAUUGCAGCCACGUCCUUCUUAUCAGUUCUCUUGAACUUGCCUCCUCUACUCUUAUGGAGGAUUUCCAAGGACAUGUAAGCGGCAUAUCUCUGCGCAUCAGUGAGCCAAUUCCUUUGCCUUUGUAUUCCUACAAUAGCAAUAGAAUAAUUAAAUUAAUUAUUGCAAGAAUAUUACAAAUUGGUUGCUGGAAAUGUAAGCAAGAGGUCAACAAUAGCAACAGCAAUUCCAUAGGAUAGGAGUAUUGCUUGCUUUGCUUGCUGUAAAUAUAAACAUAAAUGUUGCUUGCUGAAAAUAUAAAUGUAAACUAAACUUGUAAAUAUAAACUAAAGUGUUCAGUUCCGUAUACCUCAAAACUUGUAAAUAUAAAUAGAUUAUAAACUAAGCUAAACUUGCAGCAAUUUCUUUUCCAUUGUAGCUGUCAGGGUAUAUGCUAAUUUUGAGGGUAAAUAUGUUCAAGAGAAACUGGUCAGAUAGGCUUUGUUCCUGCUGAACUGAAUUGUCUAUAUGUGAAUGUAACCUGGUAAGGGGACAUUUUGGCCUGAAAAUAGAUAUUUGGAGCUAUGCUCUUGGCAUGGUUCUGAACUGAAACUUAUGUAGCCAUUUUUGUUUUAACGCAUGAGUGUCAUGCACCCUUCUUUGAUAGCUUGGGCAAGGCAUUUCAAAUAAUUGGAGAUAGGGGUCCCAUGAACACGUAUCAGCAGUAGGUGGGCACCGCUCUCCGCACCAUGGUUGGACAGCUACAUAUUUUUCAGAGAGUAGAAGCAGGCUGAUCCAGCAUGCAGAAAGUAAUAGGAGAACAUGUAUAGAUCAAGCAAAUCAUCUAUUGGUACUCCCAGCUGGCCAGCCGGAGCCAAGGAGCUUUGCUCAGUCCUACUGGCGAUGACAUGCAAAGGCUGGAUUUCCUCUUAUAAAAAACUAAACUUGUAAAAGGUAAAUAUGCCGCCAGGUUAUAUUCCGGAGCCACGGAGCCACGGACAUUGCAAUUUCUUUUCCAUUCGUAGCUGUCAGGGUAAAUAUGCCGCCAAGAGUAAAUAUAAACUUGUAAAUAUAAACAUGAGCUGUAAAUAUUUUGAGGUACACCGCUGUUCUUGCAGCAAUUUCUUUUCCAUUCGUAGCUGUCAGGGUAUAUGCCUAUUUACACACACAUACAUGUUGUCAGAGUAUAUGUUUAUUUACACACACAUACAUGGAGUUUGUUCGGUUUGCCUAUAAGCAAAUGAGACAAAAACUGAAAAUGUCCCUACAAUUAAUGUCCAGGAGACCUCUGUUGCUUGUUGAAAAUGUAAAUGUUGCUUGUUGAAUAACCUGUGAACAAAAUGAAGCUUCCUCAUAUGCACUAUUCAAUCUUAGCAUUCCCUUCUCUGUUACUUCUGAGGCAUAAUUUGAUGCAAGAUUAGAAGAAAUUAUACCUGAAUUUUGACCAGCAUUGUUGCUUUCUUCUUCAGGUUCUUCGUUGCCUUCUUCAGGUGGAGUGAAAUUGAGAUCUGGGACUACCAGGCUUGAAAUUGGGCCAACGAGCUGCUGCUGUUGAUGUUGAGGAUCUGCUUCUUCCUUGCUGUUGAAGAUCUGCUAAUGUUGUUGGUGAGGAGCUGGACCAUCAAAGGU
This 3510-nucleotide long non-coding RNA is filed under the name Triticum aestivum (bread wheat). RNAcentral's name for it is "long non-coding RNA (TAES_LNC022329)". Lineage: Eukaryota; Viridiplantae; Streptophyta; Magnoliopsida; Poales; Poaceae. The record is from RNAcentral.